This 720-nucleotide ribosomal RNA is filed under the name Isoptericola sp. Its description in RNAcentral is "bacterial SSU rRNA". It matches the Rfam family "Bacterial small subunit ribosomal RNA", at positions 72 to 806 of the family's 1533-position model. The record is from RNAcentral. Lineage: Bacteria; Bacillati; Actinomycetota; Actinomycetes; Micrococcales; Promicromonosporaceae.
GUCCCAGCUUGCUGGGAUGGAUCAGUGGCGAACGGGUGAGUAACACGUGAGCAACCUGCCCUCCACUUCGGGAUAAGCCUUGGAAACGGGGUCUAAUACCGGAUAUGAGCUCGCAUCGCAUGGUGUGGGUUGGAAAGUUUUUCGGUGGGGGAUGGGCUCGCGGCCUAUCAGCUUGUUGGUGGGGUGAUGGCCUACCAAGGCGUCGACGGGUAGCCGGCCUGAGAGGGCGACCGGCCACACUGGGACUGAGACACGGCCCAGACUCCUACGGGAGGCAGCAGUGGGGAAUAUUGCACAAUGGGCGCAAGCCUGAUGCAGCGACGCCGCGUGAGGGAUGACGGCCUUCGGGUUGUAAACCUCUUUCAGCAGGGAAGAAGCGCAAGUGACGGUACCUGCAGAAGAAGCGCCGGCUAACUACGUGCCAGCAGCCGCGGUAAUACGUAGGGCGCAAGCGUUGUCCGGAAUUAUUGGGCGUAAAGAGCUCGUAGGCGGUCUGUCGCGUCUGGUGUGAAAUCCCGAGGCUCAACCUCGGGCUUGCAUCGGGUACGGGCAGACUAGAGUGCGGUAGGGGAGACUGGAAUUCCUGGUGUAGCGGUGGAAUGCGCAGAUAUCAGGAGGAACACCGAUGGCGAAGGCAGGUCUCUGGGCCGCAACUGACGCUGAGGAGCGAAAGCAUGGGGAGCGAACAGGAUUAGAUACCCUGGUAGUCCAUGCCGUAAA